RNAcentral lists this long non-coding RNA (604 nucleotides) under Monodelphis domestica (gray short-tailed opossum). RNAcentral describes it as "lncRNA (ENSMODG00000044260.1)". The record is from RNAcentral. Lineage: Eukaryota; Metazoa; Chordata; Mammalia; Didelphimorphia; Didelphidae.
UUUAAACCUGGAUCUAGCAUUCUGCCCAGAGUGUACCCUAGAUGCUCCUCCUUCCCCUUUCUUUGCAUUGGUGAAAGAGGAGGCACUGUAAAUGAUUCUUAUUAUCUUUGGUUCUUCCCAAAGGGCCUGAAAAAAAUUUAAGAGCUAUUUCUCCAUAAGAUCCCUUCAAUCAAAACACUUUGUCUAACUGCUCAUUUCUUCAGAUGGUAUCCGGCAGGUACUAUCAGAUGGAAGAACUGCCAUGUAUGCAUCUUGGAUUUACAGCUGAAUUGGUCCUCAGAGGUCAUUGAGUACAACGUUCUGGUGCACAGAAAGGUUAAGUGACUUGCUCAGGGUCACAUGCCAGGACUUGUUGACCUUCAAUCAGAAUUAAACUCUCUCCAGAAGACGGGAAAGGAAAGCCAGCUAUUCACUCAUCCAAGUUCCCUCCAAGAGCUCCUAGUAGCUGCUAGCAUGCGGCAGCGGCCACAUCCCGGGCAACGGCUUUGACAGGCCGGCUAAACCUUAUGAGAGUAGCCAUCGGGUCGUUGAACCCUGGUGAACCAGGACCUUGUUCACCCAGCAUGUGAAGACUGCUUCGGCUGAACAGAUGGAAGAAACCAAU